RNAcentral lists this ribosomal RNA (300 nucleotides) under Triticum aestivum (bread wheat). Its description in RNAcentral is "partial small subunit ribosomal RNA". The record is from RNAcentral. Lineage: Eukaryota; Viridiplantae; Streptophyta; Magnoliopsida; Poales; Poaceae.
AUGAACGUCAGUGAUGAUUUAGACGAUGGAUAUGUUCUCCUUAAGCAGGAGGAUAUAGUCGAUGGAAUUGGAUGCUUCAUGGAUGCGUACUUCCUAUCGCUGAAAGAAACUAAGGUGCGGGUGUGCGUCGACGGGGCAUUAAUCAUGUGUUCAUCAGCAUGUCAGAGCUAUUCUUCGUCCAGAACAUCAACUAUUUGCAUCGUUUGUUCCCUGUCAUGCAAUCUUCUGAUUCGCAAAGAUUUCCUGUCCAUUAAGGACGACGGUACACUGGGCCACAUGACCACAACCGCCUGGGUGUGA